ACGCUCGACACCUACGGGAGCCAGCAGUGGGGAAUAUUGGGCAAUGGACGCAAGUCUGACCCAGCAACGCCGCGUGAAGGAAGAAGGCUUUCGGGUUGUAAACUUCUUUUGUCAGGGAAGAGCGGAAGACGGUACCUGACGAAUAAGCCACGGCUAACUACGUGUCAGCAGCCGCGGUAAUCUGAGCGGGCUGGCAAGGC
RNAcentral lists this ribosomal RNA (200 nucleotides) under uncultured bacterium. RNAcentral describes it as "partial 16S ribosomal RNA". It matches the Rfam family "Bacterial small subunit ribosomal RNA", at positions 328 to 539 of the family's 1533-position model. The record is from RNAcentral.